This 734-nucleotide ribosomal RNA is filed under the name uncultured bacterium. Its description in RNAcentral is "bacterial SSU rRNA". It matches the Rfam family "Bacterial small subunit ribosomal RNA", at positions 34 to 763 of the family's 1533-position model. The record is from RNAcentral.
CGCUGGCGGCAGGCCUAACACAUGCAAGUCGAGCGGUAGAGAGAAGCUUGCUUCUCUUGAGAGCGGCGGACGGGUGAGUAAUGCCUAGGAAUCUGCCUGGUAGUGGGGGAUAACGUUCGGAAACGGACGCUAAUACCGCAUACGUCCUACGGGAGAAAGCAGGGGACCUUCGGGCCUUGCGCUAUCAGAUGAGCCUAGGUCGGAUUAGCUAGUUGGUGAGGUAAUGGCUCACCAAGGCGACGAUCCGUAACUGGUCUGAGAGGAUGAUCAGUCACACUGGAACUGAGACACGGUCCAGACUCCUACGGGAGGCAGCAGUGGGGAAUAUUGGACAAUGGGCGAAAGCCUGAUCCAGCCAUGCCGCGUGUGUGAAGAAGGUCUUCGGAUUGUAAAGCACUUUAAGUUGGGAGGAAGGGUUGUAGAUUAAUACUCUGCAAUUUUGACGUUACCGACAGAAUAAGCACCGGCUAACUCUGUGCCAGCAGCCGCGGUAAUACAGAGGGUGCAAGCGUUAAUCGGAAUUACUGGGCGUAAAGCGCGCGUAGGUGGUUUGUUAAGUUGGAUGUGAAAUCCCCGGGCUCAACCUGGGAACUGCAUUCAAAACUGACUGACUAGAGUAUGGUAGAGGGUGGUGGAAUUUCCUGUGUAGCGGUGAAAUGCGUAGAUAUAGGAAGGAACACCAGUGGCGAAGGCGACCACCUGGACUAAUACUGACACUGAGGUGCGAAAGCGUG